CGCUUGGUUCUGGGUACUCUUUCCUCCAUUGACGUCCGGAUUCUGACAACACAAAUAACAGAUAGAUACAUUUAUGUGAGAUGCAGAUUGGGAUGGAAAUAUUCUACCAGAUAUGAUGCUUAUUUCAAGAACAAACGGAGACCAUCACUCCUAGUGUUCAGGGCAGACCCAGCUGCCUACAACAACAAGGGCAGGUCGGAGUUCCAAAUAGCUGGUUUUCCCAAAGAGCCACAUCCUGGGAGUAUCAAUGAGAACACCAUAGGGCUGUUUAUUUGGAGCAUGCUAGGGUGGAGGGCCCUGCUGCUGAGAGGAUGACGACAGGAAGAGGAUGCCUUAACGAAGACCGAUUACACGGUGGGGAGCCAAAAGUGUAAGAAUUAGCAGAGGAAUCUUCGAACCACAUAAACAUGAAGCAUGCACGGAGAUGCAGAUAUAUCAAGGAAUUACUGGGUUAAAUGAUCACUAUCUUCCAAGGUGAUGGCAUCUCA
This 488-nucleotide long non-coding RNA is filed under the name Danio rerio (zebrafish). Its description in RNAcentral is "si:dkey-228g21.5 (ENSDARG00000094837.3)". Lineage: Eukaryota; Metazoa; Chordata; Actinopteri; Cypriniformes; Danionidae. The record is from RNAcentral.